This 159-nucleotide microRNA precursor is filed under the name Pelobates cultripes (western spadefoot toad). Lineage: Eukaryota; Metazoa; Chordata; Amphibia; Anura; Pelobatidae. The record is from RNAcentral.
GCUGACACAUCACGGCCAAUCUCCAGCAGACCCUCCCUCCCAGGCCUUCCCACCUCCUGGACAGCAUCCAUGUUGAAGCUGCCUUCAACAUGGAUGCUGUCCAGGAGGUGGGAGGGUCUGGGAGGGAGGGUCUGCUGGAGAUUGACCGGGAUGUGUCAG